RNAcentral lists this small RNA (144 nucleotides) under Flavobacterium lacus. RNAcentral describes it as "Flavo-1 RNA". It matches the Rfam family "Flavo-1 RNA". The record is from RNAcentral. Lineage: Bacteria; Pseudomonadati; Bacteroidota; Flavobacteriia; Flavobacteriales; Flavobacteriaceae.
UUCUAGCCCCGAUUGCAGUGGAAAACAUUUUUUUGGAAAAUCUAUUUUUUCUUGGCAAAAAAAAGCGACCAGCGGAAGCUCUUUUUUUGGCAUUAGAAAAAAAGAUUUUGCGAAAAAAUUUUGGAACGGUAAGCGGGAAAUAGC